Molecule: ribosomal RNA, 253 nt
Filed under: uncultured bacterium
Lineage: Bacteria
Description: partial 16S ribosomal RNA
Rfam family: Bacterial small subunit ribosomal RNA
Source: RNAcentral
UACGGGGGGGGCAAGCGUUGUUCGGAAUUACUGGGCGUAAAGGGCUCGUAGGCGGCCAACUAAGUCAGACGUGAAAUCCCUCGGCUUAACCGGGGAACUGCAUCUGAUACUGGAUGGCUUGAGUUUGGGAGAGGGAUGCGGAAUUCCAGGUGCAGCGGUGAAAUGCGUAGAUAUCUGGAGGAACACCGGUGGCGAAGGCGGCAUCCUGGACCAAUUCUGACGCUGAGGAGCGAAAGCCAGGGGAGCAAACGGG